AUGCAGAGCAUCACACUUGGAGCCGCGCGGAGCUUCACGUUUGGUGCGGAGCUUCACGCUUGGAGCCCUGCGGAGCUUCACGUCUGGAGCCACGCGGAGCUUCACGCUUGGAGCCUGCGGAGCUUCAUGUUUGGUGCGGAGCUUCACGCUUGGAGCCGUGCGGAGCUUCAUGUUUGGUGCGGAGCUUCACGCUUGGAGCCGUGCGGAGCUUCAUGUUUGGUGCGGAGCUUCACGCUUGGAGCCCUGCGGAGCUUCACGCCUGGAGCCACGCGGAGCUUCACGCUUGGAGCCUGCGGAGCUUCACGUCUGGAGCCACGCGGAGCUUCACGCUUGGAGCGCGCGGAGCUUCACGUCUGGAGCCGUGCGGAGCUUCAUGCUUGGAGCCGCGCGGAGCUUCACGUCUGGAGCCGCGCGGAGCUUCACGCUGGCAGGUCUGAAGCUGCCCGUGGUGGCGCUGAAUUCACCCGCUACUCUCAGCCCAGAGGAACUAACUGCCCCUCCUUAACACCACCACCACCAAGAAAAGUGCCUCCUGUUGGAUCAGCAAGCGCGGCUCCGCCCUCUUAAAAUGAUGCAUCCAUCAUGCGGAAUUGAAAGGUCCUGUCGCACGUCUCUCCCCUCAACCUGGACACAUGUUCAGACCAGUCCUGCUCCUGCUGCUUCCCCACAUCAUUUGAAGGUCAAACCCCUGAUUUCAGGACCCCCCUGGGGACUCCCCUGUGGAGGAAGGCUCACCGGGCACCUCUGCAUUGCCAAAUCUGUCUUGUGUCAUUUUCAAAUGUGUUUUCUUGUGGCAGUGUUACAGGAGCGGCAGGAAGGAAGGUGUUCAAUCCAUCGCACUGAAGGGAAGUUCCUGGAAAAGGGUUUUUAAUUGUGUCGUUGUCGUGUGGAAAUGAUCUACCAUUAAAACAUUCCCUCAGAAGCUUCUCACCACAUGAUUUCUUCCAGAGUUUCACCAUUCUCAUGACCCCAUGUGGAGGGGGUCACCUGAGGGUCACAGCC
RNAcentral lists this long non-coding RNA (1002 nucleotides) under Takifugu rubripes (torafugu). RNAcentral describes it as "lncRNA (ENSTRUG00000028642.1)". Lineage: Eukaryota; Metazoa; Chordata; Actinopteri; Tetraodontiformes; Tetraodontidae. The record is from RNAcentral.